Molecule: long non-coding RNA, 1300 nt
Filed under: Sorghum bicolor (sorghum)
Lineage: Eukaryota; Viridiplantae; Streptophyta; Magnoliopsida; Poales; Poaceae
Description: long non-coding RNA (SBIC_LNC007647)
Source: RNAcentral
GUGCAGGAAACAUGAGGCCAGACACCAAAAAAGGCAAACAAAUCUCAGUGGAAUUUCAUCAAAGACAUUAAUAUUCAAAUAUAGUUAUGUAGUUAUUUUUUUAAGAAUUACAGUACAACUUAGACGCUCACAACACGCAUGCACACUUACCCCUAUGAACACACAUAGGCAAACCCUACCGCGCUAUGAGCACAUCCAAAGGACAGAACCGACACAUCUUGAGAUUGACGAAGUCACCACAGGCACCACGUUGUCGACGGGAUCGCCUACCACUGAAAGCAUAGGAAUAAAUCUAGGAAAUUACAAGCACUGUGCCAAGUUGAGGACUUGAACACCUACCACUAAAAGCGUAGGAAUAAAUAUAGGAAAAUGCGAGCCUCGUGCUAAGUCGAGGACUUGAACCUAGGUGGGCUGGUUCCACCACAACGAACCCAACCAACUGAUCUAUGAUCAGUUCACAUUAUAUAGUUACUUUGAGUGUAUAAAGCUUGACAACACUUGUGCUUUUAGGAUAUAAAUGAUCCCACCCAACAUGUUUAUUAGUCUGUUUAACAAUUAUUCGUCUCAUUGUUGUCAGUGUCACUCUCAAAUCCUUGCUGCAGAUGACUAUUCACGGUGCCAUGGGCAAACAUUCAUUGCAAGAUAUGACUAUUGAGAUGAGGAAAUGUGUAACAAUAGAAAAGGCAAUUCCACCUCAAGCUCAAUAUAAGGAGGUGGUUUCCAGUUCCACCUGUAGGUCAACAAUGUGACAAAGCAACACUAGCAUACAAUACACACUUAAUGUAAGAGGAUAUAUAGAUGGAUGAGUAGCAGAGAUGGAAUGAGAGGCACAUGAACGGUGUGUAGGGACCUGGGAAUGGGAGGUCGGAGGAAGGCAGUUACUAGGGAGGUGGUCUUUUCUUAGAGACUCACGGACACAUAAAGUAGGGAUAUGGCUCUUCUGCUCAAUCCCUGCUUCUGACCCCUCUGCUACAGGCCUCGACCUAGAGGCUUGGACCAAUGUAAGGAGGAUAAAAUUGGGAAAGGGGCCUCGGAGCAUCACGGACUGCUAUAAUAUGAGAAUACAACAUUUGCCUGAUCGACGGUUUCUGCCUUUUAAGCAAUAAAAUUAGUCUUAGCAUCACAUUUAUCCCUUUUUGUUUCUAAUUAGGCAUGCUCGAGUUGCAGCUUAGAUUGUGCAUCAUGUUAGACGAUUGUAUUGAAUCCACUGAUGUUCUUUGUUAUAAUGAUUCAAGCACCUUUUGGAGAUGCAUUUCUCUCGUUAUUGGAGCACAGAAGUGUCUAAUUCAUACAGAGGUCC